UCCCAUCCUUUUUUUUUUUUCACAAGAACCACUGGACUCGCUAAAGGACUAUUGCUUGGGUGAAUGACACUUGUAGCUAGCAUCUCAGCAACUAGUUUUUCUAUUUCAUUCUUCUGGCUGUAACCAUAGUGAUAAGGUCUGGUGUUGACAGGGUGAGUGUUGGGUUGUGGUGGAAUGGCUUGGUUCUAAGGUUGUGAAGGUGGUAGAGAGUUUGGGUCUGAGAAAACAAAGGCAUAUUUUUGAAGAAGUGCCUAUAAUUGAGAGUGUUGGGUGUCAUUGACAUUGGAGUGUGGCAAAGGUGAUGGUGGGGAGGCUGUGUAUUCUAACAAGACAGCGCGAAAUUUGACCUUGGAAGUUUUGAGGGUAAUUGCCGUCUUUUGUUGUGAAGGGCGACUAGUGAGGGUGAUGGUGGAAUUGAGAUGCUGGAUAGACAUGGAAAGGGUUUGCCAAUUGAUCGUUAUAUCGUCCAAAUUUGCCAGUCGUGACUCGUGAAACACCCAAAACCACAUCAAUACUUGCAAAAGAGGAAACACACAACACUUUGGAAAAAUAGUUAGUGGACCCAAAUCAAUUUCCAAAUUUUUUUAACAAGCCAAAGGAAGAGUUAGAUAGCUGUCACUCAAUUUCACAUUAAAAGGCUUUGUAGAAAGGCAGGUAAAUUAAGCACAGAUACCAAAUGAGGGGAAAUAAAACGGUAGUUGGCUCUAUUAUUAACCAUGAAAAUAAUUUGAUGAUUGUGUACAGUACCAAGUAGCUUCAAUGUUUAUGGGUGAGCAAUACCGCCUACUAAGUAAAAAGGCAGCAUCAAUUGACUAAAAUGAGCAUCAAGGAUGUGUGUGAGUAGGGGGGAGAUUGGAGGUUUUCUUUUGAGGUGGUUUCAGAGUGUCUACUGGGUCUUCAUCUUCAGCAGCAAUGAGGGCUCUAAGGGUCUUUGAGAGAUAUUCAUGGAGGGGAAAAUAAGGUCAUUUGCAUCGGAAACACAGACCUUUGGAUUUGGAUUUGAGAUCCUAGUAUUCUUGAUGAGAGUAAUGGCGGAUGUUGCGUGGUUUGGUGUUCGUGGGUGGUGGUAUGCAAGGUGUUGAAUGUGGGGCUGGUAGCGUUUUUGGAGAAAGCUGGUGUGGUGGAGAGGUGUCGACAGGAGAGAUGAGUGGAGGCUUAGGUAUAAUGGGCUAGGCUAAAUUAUAAGGAGGCUUUUGUUGUAGUCUGGGUAAGUUGAAGGAGAAGGGGUAUAACGGCUUGACUUAGUUGUGGAACCCUUUGAGCCCUGUAGAGGAGAUGGGUAUUUCAAGAUACAUGAGAACAAGAAGUCCCUUUCAACUUCUCUCUUUAGAUUCAUGGUGCCCGAGACAAAGCCGGAUUUUUGGCUUAAGACCAUUCAAGAAGUUUUUAAGUUAGUGCAUUUCGGAGAGAGAUGGAAUUUGGGAGGCACAAGCCACAAAUUGAUAUGUAAUUGUCCAUAGUAUCUGUUUGUUGUACAAAAGCUGGUCAUUCAAAAGGAUUAACCAUGUAAUUCGGAUUGUAGUGAGCUAGUUACUCAUUUGAGAGUUGGGUUCAAGUUAGACCAGGUUGAUGUUUCCGACGACAAUGCAACCAGUGGAGUGUGCCAUCCUUCAUGCAGACGAGAGCUAGAGGAAUUUUAAGGUCCGGUUGAGUGGAGUGAAUUUCAAAAUAUUGCUUAGCAUGAGUGAGCCAGCCAAUCACAUUAUUACCAUCAAAAGUUGGGAGCUCCACUUUUUUGAUAGCCAGUGAAGAAUCAUCGAUGUUGACAGGAGGAGGGACUGGUGUAGCAAUAGGUGUGUUUGGUGGAUUCAGCGAGGCAAAGGAAGUAGUGGAGGAAGGUUCGCCUUCGGCCAUAAUGAUUUUACCUUUGGCAAUAGUAGAAAGUAAUUCUUCAAAAGAAGUGAGUUUGGCUUGUGUGCUCUUGUUUUCGAGAUGAAGUUUCAUGACUCCAUCAUCAACUAGAGCAAGGUUCCUCUCACUGUUUCAACUUGUAAUUCCAUCUGUGUAUUUGUCAUCAGGGUCAGACCAAAUUGGUAGAGUAAGGAACCACAACCAUAACAAGAACAGUAAAUAGAACAAGAAAUUAGUGAAGAACGCAGAGAGUUUAAGCUUGAUUGUAUUAACAAAUUAAGAAGUUUAAAACAAGAUACAAGCAAAACAAAAUAGAACAAGUUCCCAACGGCAGCUGUUGUUGCUCACAGGGACAAAUUGCCCCCAAACCUAAAGCUGGACAAGAAAAACAAAAGAAAUCAAAGAUAUGCUCUCCUCAUGCUGCUUUGCCCUUAUUAUACCUUCUCCUAUUUUUCAUGCAGCUUUGUUGUAACUGAAUUCACCACCUCCACAUUUGCUUUAUCUCUUUUGAUUCUUCUGGAAUAAACAUUCCAUUUGCUCUUUGGACCUUGCUGCUGCGUAUCAUAAACUAAAUUAAAACCUAAUUA
This 2438-nucleotide unclassified non-coding RNA is filed under the name Hevea brasiliensis (rubber tree). Lineage: Eukaryota; Viridiplantae; Streptophyta; Magnoliopsida; Malpighiales; Euphorbiaceae. The record is from RNAcentral.